Vicia villosa (hairy vetch) is the source of this 5249-nucleotide long non-coding RNA. RefSeq lists it as uncharacterized. Lineage: Eukaryota; Viridiplantae; Streptophyta; Magnoliopsida; Fabales; Fabaceae. The transcript has 3 exons. The record is from RefSeq and is a predicted model, not a curated record.
GGAUUUUAAAACGACUCAUUUUAUCCAUGAGGUUCGAAUUUUUGGGGUAGGUUCUCGGAGAGAUCAGCUAAGUAUCCAGUCCACCCCUCCACAAAGUCAAGCUUCGUUUCGGACCUUUCCAAAUACCUAACUCACUCCGAGUGGAGUUAUCAAUGAGAUUCGUAGGAGAUUCGUACUCCCCUAGUGAUCUCAAGGUUAACUCCCACAUUUAAGGUUUAACUGACAUAAAAUAGAGCAAAAUAUACAAUAAUAAAGCAGAUAUUUUCAGGCAGAUAAACAAACAUAAGACAAAUAAACAAAUAAAGAUAAACCUCCCCCAAACCCUAAAUGUGGCAAAUUGCCAACCCUAAAAUGCGCCACAAACCACAAACCACAAACUACGACUCAUAAACCUAAACCCUUCAAGCCUUAGGAGCAUAAUAAUUCACUAAGAGUGUUCUCCCCAACAGAGUCGCCAGCUGUAGCAACCUGCCUAAAAAAUUUCAGCUUUCGGAGAGUCGCCACCUAUUCUGAAGGGCGAAUAGGAAACCCUACGCAGAUAAGAGAUUGAUGUAACACCCCAUAUUUUCUAAUUUUAAUUUAAUUGGAAAUUAAAUUAUUUAUUAGAAUUAUUUUGGUAUUUGGUUGAAUUAUUGUAGGAUUAUGGAUUUAAGGGCCAUUGGGCCGGAUGGUGAGGUUAGUAGUAUGAGGGUGCUAAGUGAGUAAGCCCAUUACUAACCAUUUUAUGUUUUCAUAAAAUAAGGGAAAUAUGGAAAAAAGAGUCAGUACGUGAAAAAUGAAAAGUUGGAGAGAAAAGGAAGAACACGUGAAAGAACAAGAGAAGAGAAGAGGAGCAAGGAGGAGGAAAACCCCAAAGCUCAAGGAGAAUCAAGAAACUAAUUCCAGAUUGAAGUAGCGGCCUAAGCGAUCGGUGAGGAUGACUCGUAGAGUUUAUCCAGUUAUGUUGGGUCAUGUCGGUCAUGCUCUGAUCUUGUAACACUGGGGGACGAUAGUCUUAGAGUUGACUAGUGAUACACUAUUUUGCCAUUAUUGUAUAAUGUACCGUUGAUUUUAUCGGAAAUGUUUUAUAACAUUGUUGAAUGAGUUUCCGCUGUGCUGAACAUGUAUUUUGAUAUUUUGGAUUAUUCUUAAUAAAGCAUGACAAACGACUUGGAGUUUUGUUUAUUUUAUUAAUUGUAACAUCCUUGUUGUAUAAUUACUCUGAUUUUUAUUAUAUUUCCGCUGGGGUUUAGAAGGGUGUUACAAUAGUGGUAUCAGAGCAGGUCGGUCCGUCCGGCCAAUUGUUGAGUCUGUUGAGUUGCACGACAGUUGAAUACUGUCAGCGUAUUAGCCCUUGGUACGCGACAUGUGAGUGGAUCACUGUCGGUACUUGUUUGUUUUGUUGCAGGGGUUGGUUUGAGCGAAGUGGGGGAGAAGCUUUGCUUCUCGGUUAUGUUCACUUGUAAGAUGAUUGAUUCAGUCAGCUGUUGUUGGCAACCGUGCAAGCGUUGUUGGAGUUUGUUGUUUUCUGAAUUGAAGGUGACUUAGAAUUAGGACUCGACUGGUAGCUAAGUUGGAACAUAUGGAAGGAAGAUGAUUAGAGGUCAUUGAUGAUUAUCUGUAGGAGAGGGAAAUUAAGAAGUUGCAAUGUAUCAGCUCUACUGAGGGGCUGCAAAGUUGUCAGUUAAGUAGCCUUGCGUCUCGGAAGAGGUUCAGCUGCAAGUUGCAAAAAGGAUUGCGGUCGUAAUGUUUCAGAAAUUGCACUUCGACAAUGGGAUGUGUUGCUCAAGUUAUAAUAAUGUUUGGAAGUGAAGAGAUAUGAUAAGGGGCUGUUUGGAAUAUGAUCGAGUUGAAGAGAAUGAGUUUUGGAAUGAAAUUUUCGUAAGCAAAACGCAGGAAAAUUGCUGAAUAGCUGCAGAACUUCGAAAAUUCAUAACAGGAGUUCUGGACAUCCGAUUUGAGUUCCGUUUGAAGCGUCGGAAAGCUAAAGAGAUGAACUUUAUUAUAAAAAUGGUUGCAGCAGCUGUAAAUAUUUAAUUGUGACAGGAUGAUGUUGGAAAGAGGUGAAGUUGCGGUUACGCGUGCUCUUAGAACUAGACUUGUUUGUUGGUACGGCACGGGAUGUCAGUGUCAGAGUUGAAUGGAGUGAAGAAAUAAUUAAAAGGUUUGUUGAGAAGAAAUUUUAGGAAUUAAUUGUACCAUUUGAGGAGUUUUUGAAAUAUCAUUUAAGGUGUCGCUGCAUGGCGUCAGUGUUGCAAUUUUGGACAACGAUUGGAAAAUUCAUAUCUUGAGAUUCGAGUGUCUAAUUUAAGUGUCGUUUGGGGCAUUGCGAAGCUGACUUAAUAACCAUGAUAUAUGUUGUUAUUUGAUGUUUAAAACUUGUUUGAAAUGUGUUCCAAUUAUAAAAACAGAGGCGUGGGAAUUUUGGGUUGUUGGGAACCGGUUCCCAGAUAGAGACAACCCGGUUCCCCAUAGUAAAAAUCAGAGACGAGUUAUGGGAAGCAGCCAGGAACCGGUUCUUGUGUGGGAGGAACCGGGUUCUACUGUGUGUUUUUGGAAAAUUGUUUUUACUUUAAAAACCCAUAACUUUUUAUCCUAUGAGGAGAUAUUCUGAAGUCGGUUAGGGAAGCGCAAAACUUAUUGAAUAGGAAGGCCUACUACCGUGAUUGUUUGAAACAAAAUUGAGUAGAAUAUGUUGUUGAGGAAUAAGUUGAUGAUAUGUUUGGUAAUAAAGAUGAUUUGAGUACCGAUGGAUUUUAAUGAGGAGUGAAUUAGUAGAAAGGGUGAAAUAAGUUUUAGUACGGUUGAAGUCGUAUUUAUGAUGCCAAAGCAACAACAUGUAUAGAAGAAGAAUUGUAGAGGAUUUCUUACACCUAUUGGAGUGAGGAAGAAUUUGUUGAGAUUCCGAGUGGAAUGAUACUUGGGUGCAAAAGAUGUCAUGGGAUUUAGAGUGAAACCACGAGUUAUGAAUGUUAUCGCGGUCUUUUGCUAGAUGAGGAUUUUGAUUCAGAACGAGAUAAAUAGAAAGGUACGAGUAUAUUAGUGAUUAUGAAGUUGGAAGUACUUAACAAGCGUGUGACGCUAAGUGACUAUGAAGUGGUUUGUGUAAAAUGUUUGGAUGUUGGUAUCUCACUGACAAGAUCCAAUGAGAGGGAAGUGUGCGAGUUGUAAAGACUCAGAGUGAACUAUUGGACUAUGACAAUGUUAAUGAGUUUGAGUACAAACUCGGAAAAGGACACUAUUAUGUAGUAACGACGGUUUAUGCUUAAAUAUGGUUGUCGGCUAUCUAUUGACAAAUUGAGGACUUGAUCACCCUUAAUCUCUUGUUGAUAGUAGACGGAAUCAUAUAGAUAGGAUGAGCUUGUUUGUUACCUUAAUGGUUUAGGAUAUGAUGGAUACUAAGCCGUGAGAAUAAUCACUCACCAUGUUGUAUGAAUUUAUGAAGAAGUGAAUAGGAAAGAGUGAAAUAUAUUGGACGGUGACUUAAGACGGGUAAUCAGAAUCGCGCAACGAAAGUGUGAUGUGGAUUAGUGUGCGAGUACUACUCGUGGGCAGUGAGGAAUUAAUAAGCCGGGAGCCUACGUAGAGAACAUGAAUUGAUCUAUAUGCUAGAUUUAGAAUCUAGUGGAUGCGAGGAUGUCGUGCUAGAGAAUUAGAACUCUUGUGAAUAAUUGCCGAGAUGAUGAGUAUGUUAUUAUGGAUGUACUUAGUCAACGAGUAUGUAUUAAGCGAAACUAAGGUGAUGAGUUGAUACUAUAUGAUGCUAUAAUAAUUUUGUACUGUUGUAAGGUAUUAUUGUAGAUUUCCAGAUAUAAUGAGGAAUUAUACUCUAUGAAGAACGAAGUUGAUUCAAUCCUUAGAGAAGAGCGAGACUCGGUUUGAGCUAUUUUGUAAGCAAUGGUAUAUUAAGGAUGAUGAGUGUAAUUAUAAUUACUUGUGUGUACUCAUUCUGAUGGUUGAAAUUUUUAAAUAGAGGAAGUAAAUCAGGACUUUGUUUUGAGUGCGAGUAAGUGUUGCUAAAUGGUAGAUGAGUACCAUGUAUGAUAAAGAAGGAUUCUGGAACGAAUGAGUAAAGAGAGUCGAAAUUGGAUAAAACUGAGAAAUCUAAUUGGUAAUGAUGAUUGUAAUGAGUAAUCAAAAUAGUGCAGCAAAAGCAGAAUAUAACUUGUUGGAUAAUUGCUGGUAUGACUUGAGAGGAGUCAGAUGGUUGAAAUUCAAUGGUAUAGGAAUGUUAUUAUCGAGCUCUUGAAGGAAGCAGUUGGUGAAAAGUGUGAGCGUUAUUUCAUCGCUCGGAUGGAAAAGUGUGUCUAAGGUUGGUACGUUCGGUAGAUGAAAUGCUUUACUGCAGUGCUGAUCGGGUGUGGUCAUACCAUGGUUGUGUAAUUAUAUUACUCAGUUAUUGGGCUUAUUGUAUGGAUCACACCCUGACGUUUCAUUGUUGUUAACCUUUUGGAGAUAUAGCAAGUGGUAUACCUUGGGAUGGUCAAAUGCGACGUAAGAGCUGAGAUUGAAUGCAUGAGACAUGCUUAUGUUGGUUAUGUUAGAUGAGUUUUGAGGUUCGACUAAGAAAGUGUUAACUGAGAACAGGAGACUCAGAUGAAGGACUCCUAUUUGGAACUUUUCACUUGAAGUAUGUUUUCGAGGACGAAAACUCUUUUAGUGGGGGAGAGUUGUAACGCCCCAUAUUUUCUAAUUUUAAUUUAAUUGGAAAUUAAAUUAUUUAUUAGAAUUAUUUUGGUAUUUGGUUGAAUUAUUGUAGGAUUAUGGAUUUAAGGGCCAUUGGGCCGGAUGGUGAGGUUAGUAGUAUGAGGGUGCUAAGUGAGUAAGCCCAUUACUAACCAUUUUAUGUUUUCAUAAAAUAAGGGAAAUAUGGAAAAAAGAGUCAGUACGUGAAAAAUGAAAAGUUGGAGAGAAAAGGAAGAACACGUGAAAGAACAAGAGAAGAGAAGAGGAGCAAGGAGGAGGAAAACCCCAAAGCUCAAGGAGAAUCAAGAAACUAAUUCCAGAUUGAAGUAGCGGCCUAAGCGAUCGGUGAGGAUGACUCGUAGAGUUUAUCCAGUUAUGUUGGGUCAUGUCGGUCAUGCUCUGAUCUUGUAACACUGGGGGACGAUAGUCUUAGAGUUGACUAGUGAUACACUAUUUUGCCAUUAUUGUAUAAUGUACCGUUGAUUUUAUCGGAAAUGUUUUAUAACAUUGUUGAAUGAGUUUCCGCUGUGCUGAACAUGUAUUUUGAUAUUUUGGAUUAUUCUUAAUAAAGCAUGACAAACGAC